Molecule: long non-coding RNA, 574 nt
Filed under: Pan troglodytes (chimpanzee)
Lineage: Eukaryota; Metazoa; Chordata; Mammalia; Primates; Hominidae
Description: long non-coding RNA NONPTRT017057
Source: RNAcentral
GCACCACACCACACCAUCACAACACACCCCACCACACAACACGCAACCACACCACACACACCCCAUCACCACACACACCACAACCACACCACACACCCCAUCACACACACAACCACACCACACAUUUCCUCACGCCACCACACACACCACACCACACACAACCACAUAACACGCAACGGGGAAAACACACCAUACACAUCCUAUUACAACACAACCACACCACCCACAUCCCAUCACACACGGCAUACCCCAUCACACCAACACACACAGCCACAUCACACACCCCAUCACACACACCACACAGAACCACACCACACACCCCAUCACACACACACCACACACACAUCACACACAUCCCAUCACACACACACCACCACACCACACACCCCAUCACACCACACAACCACACCACACACCCCAUCACACAACCACACACACCACGCACACACCACACAACCACACCACAUACCAUGACCCACACAUAUACACCACACACACCACACCACAGGCUCCACACAGCAUCAUACACACCACACACAAUUACCCCACACACAUCAAACCACACCACACACAC